AAAAACCAUGGUUAAGGGAA
This 20-nucleotide small nuclear RNA is filed under the name Arabidopsis thaliana (thale cress). RNAcentral's name for it is "snRNA_15056". The record is from RNAcentral. Lineage: Eukaryota; Viridiplantae; Streptophyta; Magnoliopsida; Brassicales; Brassicaceae.